Molecule: transfer RNA, 70 nt
Filed under: Epiplatys guineensis
Lineage: Eukaryota; Metazoa; Chordata; Actinopteri; Cyprinodontiformes; Nothobranchiidae
Description: tRNA-Arg
Rfam family: tRNA
About the family: Transfer RNA (tRNA) molecules are approximately 80 nucleotides in length.
Source: RNAcentral
AAGAGAUUAGUUUAAUUAAAAACUUUUGAUUUCGGCUCAAAAGAUUAUGGUUAAAGUCCAUAACCCCUUA